GCACCUGUAUGUAUGUCUUGUCAUUUUGUCCGUUUGCAUGUAUCUCUGAACUCUUUGUGCCUAUUGUGCUCUAUGUGUUUGUGUUGUUCUUGUAGGAGUAAUUUGUUAUAUGUUCCCUAAGUGUGAAGGCUUUCAUUUAUAUUUAUUUCUGCUUAUUCAUUUUUCAGCCAACUGCAGCUAGACCUGAAUUGGAAAAGGACCUUCCCAAGACACCAUGUUUAAUAGGCUUUGGGGCAUCAAGGUUGACGGCAACCAGAUAUAUGUUGUCAAUUGAUGGUGUUGUUGUCACUGACCAUAUCGCAACAUUUACUACUGGGCUGGCUAUGCUGCUGGCCUCCUACUACAACUUCAAUAUAAUGUACCCUGUUGAUUCUGCAUCGACACUGGAGUUCAUUCAAAGAUGCUUUGUUGGCAUCAAUCCAGAGCGGGGCAGCAAGAUUGAAGUAAAGAAGCACUGCAAGAGACGCACCCAAGUCCAUC
Molecule: long non-coding RNA, 480 nt
Organism: Eriocheir sinensis (Chinese mitten crab)
Lineage: Eukaryota; Metazoa; Arthropoda; Malacostraca; Decapoda; Varunidae
Exons: 3
Source: RefSeq, a predicted model, not a curated record